This 497-nucleotide ribosomal RNA is filed under the name uncultured bacterium. Its description in RNAcentral is "partial 16S ribosomal RNA". It matches the Rfam family "Bacterial small subunit ribosomal RNA", at positions 28 to 507 of the family's 1533-position model. The record is from RNAcentral.
GAUGAACGCUGGCGGCGUGCCUAAUACAUGCAAGUCGAGCGAACGGACGAGAAGCUUGCUUCUCUGAUGUUAGCGGCGGACGGGUGAGUAACACGUGGAUAACCUACCUAUAAGACUGGGAUAACUUCGGGAAACCGGAGCUAAUACCGGAUAAUAUUUUGAACCGCAUGGUUCAAAAGUGAAAGACGGUCUUGCUGUCACUUAUAGAUGGAUCCGCGCUGCAUUAGCUAGUUGGUAAGGUAACGGCUUACCAAGGCAACGAUGCAUAACCGACCUGAGAGAGUGAUCGGCCACACUGGAACUGAGACACGGACCAGACUCCUACGGGAGGCAGCAGUAGGGAAUCUUCCGCAAUGGGCGAAAGCCUGACGGAGCAACGCGGCGUGAGUGAUGAAGGCCUUCGGAUCGUAAAACUCUGUUAUUAGGGAAGAACAUAUGUGUAAGUAACUGUGCACAUCUUGACGGUACCUAAUCAGAAAGCCACGGCUAACUACGUG